GUCGAGCCGUAGCGUAGUGGUAGUGGUGCGUGUGCCUGAUGAGGAGGGCGUGGGUUCGAGUCCCCCCCCUCGGCA
RNAcentral lists this transfer RNA (75 nucleotides) under Hordeum vulgare. RNAcentral describes it as "tRNA-OTHER". Lineage: Eukaryota; Viridiplantae; Streptophyta; Magnoliopsida; Poales; Poaceae. The record is from RNAcentral.